RNAcentral lists this ribosomal RNA (495 nucleotides) under uncultured bacterium. RNAcentral describes it as "bacterial SSU rRNA". It matches the Rfam family "Bacterial small subunit ribosomal RNA", at positions 15 to 507 of the family's 1533-position model. The record is from RNAcentral.
GAUCAUGGCUCAGAUUGAACGCUGGCGGCAUGCUUUACACAUGCAAGUCGAACGGUAACAGGCCGCAAGGUGCUGACGAGUGGCGAACGGGUGAGUAAUGCAUCGGAACGUGCCCAGUCGUGGGGGAUAACGCAGCGAAAGCUGCGCUAAUACCGCAUACGAUCUAUGGAUGAAAGCGGGGGACCGUAAGGCCUCGCGCGAUUGGAGCGGCCGAUGUCAGAUUAGGUAGUUGGUGGGGUAAAGGCUCACCAAGCCAACGAUCUGUAGCUGGUCUGAGAGGACGACCAGCCACACUGGGACUGAGACACGGCCCAGACUCCUACGGGAGGCAGCAGUGGGGAAUUUUGGACAAUGGGCGCAAGCCUGAUCCAGCAAUGCCGCGUGCAGGAAGAAGGCCUUCGGGUUGUAAACUGCUUUUGUACGGAACGAAAAGGCUCUGGUUAAUACCUGGGGCACAUGACGGUACCGUAAGAAUAAGCACCGGCUAACUACGUG